RNAcentral lists this ribosomal RNA (413 nucleotides) under uncultured bacterium. Its description in RNAcentral is "bacterial SSU rRNA". It matches the Rfam family "Bacterial small subunit ribosomal RNA", at positions 945 to 1359 of the family's 1533-position model. The record is from RNAcentral.
CUUAAUUCGACGCAACGCGAAGAACCUUACCAAGGCUUGACAUGCAGGGAAAUCUCGUAGAGAUACGGGGUCCGCAAGGGUCCUGCACAGGUGGUGCAUGGUUGUCGUCAGCUCGUGUCGUGAGAUGUUGGGUUAAGUCCCGCAACGAGCGCAACCCUCGUUCUAUGUUGCCAGCGCGUGAUGGCGGGGACUCAUAGGAGACUGCCGGGGUCAACUCGGAGGAAGGUGGGGAUGACGUCAAAUCAUCAUGCCCCUUAUGUCUUGGGCUGCACACAUGCUACAAUGGUCGAUACAAAGGGCUGCUAAGCCGCGAGGUGGAGCGAAUCCCAAAAAGUCGGUCUCAGUUCGGAUUGGGGUCCGCAACUCGACCCCAUGAAGUCGGAGUUGCUAGUAAUCGCAGAUCAGCAACGCUG